This 497-nucleotide ribosomal RNA is filed under the name uncultured bacterium. RNAcentral's name for it is "partial 16S ribosomal RNA". It matches the Rfam family "Bacterial small subunit ribosomal RNA", at positions 28 to 507 of the family's 1533-position model. The record is from RNAcentral.
GAUGAACGCUGGCGGCGUGCCUAAUACAUGCAAGUCGAGCGAACAGAUGAGGAGCUUGCUCCUCUGACGUUAGCGGCGGACGGGUGAGUAACACGUGGAUAACCUACCUAUAAGACUGGGAUAACUUCGGGAAACCGGAGCUAAUACCGGAUAAUAUAUUGAACCGCAUGGUUCAAUAGUGAAAGACGGUUUUGCUGUCACUUAUAGAUGGAUCCGCGCCGCAUUAGCUAGUUGGUAAGGUAACGGAUUACCAAGGCAACGAUGCGUAGCCGACCUGAGAGGGUGAUCGGCCACACUGGAACUGAGACACGGUCCAGACUCCUACGGGAGGCAGCAGUAGGGAAUCUUCCGCAAUGGGCGAAAGCCUGACGGAGCAACGCCGCGUGAGUGAUGAAGGUCUUCGGAUCGUAAAACUCUGUUAUUAGGGAAGAACAAAUGUGUAAGUAACUAUGCACGUCUUGACGGUACCUAAUCAGAAAGCCACGGCUAACUACGUG